AAAAAGAUGGCCGAAUUAUAGGCAGAAGACUGUAACCCUUCCCAUGGAUUUCUCCUCUUUUU
RNAcentral lists this transfer RNA (62 nucleotides) under Lamellibrachia luymesi. RNAcentral describes it as "tRNA-Tyr". Lineage: Eukaryota; Metazoa; Annelida; Polychaeta; Sabellida; Siboglinidae. The record is from RNAcentral.